Molecule: long non-coding RNA, 504 nt
Filed under: Mytilus galloprovincialis (Mediterranean mussel)
Lineage: Eukaryota; Metazoa; Mollusca; Bivalvia; Mytilida; Mytilidae
Source: RNAcentral
GUUUAGUCCUGGGCUAUUUCUUCAGCAAGUAUUAUGGCAUAUAGAUUUUUUCAAAUAAGUGUGAGCAUUUCGAAGUAUUUGUUUUCUAUCGAGUACAUGUAUAUGGUGUUCAACGAUCAUCUUUAAAACGUUCAAACUGAACACACUAAAGCACAACAGAAUACCCAUUCAUCAAUUUCUUUAAAUCUGCUUCUCUAUAAUUAGAAAUGAUCUGAAAAAUAGCUUGUAUCAGAAAAGGUUACACAAGUAUAAUCAAUAACAUAACCACAACACUAAUACAGUAUUCAAUUUAAAAUGUCCCUUGCAUCACAGAGGCUGGUAAUACAUUUUGUAAAUUAAAUAUACAUAUAUUGGUUCAAUUAAAUUUUCACUCCAAUAUCAUCAGCCUCUGUUAUAAGUGCUCUUGUACUUCCACAAGUUUUAUUUAUAAUGUUUUAGUUUUAUAUUACAUCUUUAAACUUUUAAUUAUAUUUAGUUCAAAUAUUUUAUACAUUUUUAACUUCA